GCCCAGCUGGUGAAACUGGUAGACGCGCAGAGCUCAAAACUCUGUUCCCAAGGGAGUAACGGUUCGAGUCCGUUGCUGGGCACCA
Molecule: transfer RNA, 85 nt
Filed under: Pseudomonas fluorescens
Lineage: Bacteria; Pseudomonadati; Pseudomonadota; Gammaproteobacteria; Pseudomonadales; Pseudomonadaceae
Also listed under: 3 other names
Description: tRNA-Leu
Rfam family: tRNA
About the family: Transfer RNA (tRNA) molecules are approximately 80 nucleotides in length.
Source: RNAcentral